This 256-nucleotide ribosomal RNA is filed under the name uncultured bacterium. RNAcentral describes it as "partial 16S ribosomal RNA". It matches the Rfam family "Bacterial small subunit ribosomal RNA", at positions 521 to 776 of the family's 1533-position model. The record is from RNAcentral.
UAAUACAGAGGCCACAAGCGUUAGUCGGAAUCACUGGGCUUAAAGGGUGCGUAGGCGGGUCUGCAAGCGUCUUGUGAAAUACCUCAGCUCAACUGAGGAACAGCAGGGCGAACUGCGGAUCUUGAGGCAUGUAGGGGCUGCGAGAACAGUAGGUGGAGCGGUGAAAUGCGUAGAUAUCUACUGGAAUGCCGAUGGUGAAGACGCGCAGCUGGGCAUGUCCUGACGCUGAGGCACGAAAGCGUGGGGAGCAAACAGG